AUGGAGAGGGGCUUUGGAAGACAAAGGAGGAGGAGGAGGUUGGAAGCCUGCAUUAAUAUAGGGGUUGAAGAUAUUCAUUGUGAGGUGGUCUUGAAGCAGCCCGAAGCAGAACAGAGACAGCCCGGCCAGUCCCUCAAACGGUCUUGUACGAUUUCUGGAUUCACUUUCAGUGGCAGCAGCAGCUUCUACCUGAACUGGAUCCGACAUCCUCCGGGAAAAGGGCUGGAAUGGUUGGCAGCUGAAAGAGGAGAUAAAAGUUAUACGGGCCACGCAAACUCAAUUAAAGGGAGAUUCACCAUCUCGACGGAUAGCAAUGGCGCAUAUCUGCAAAUGAACGCCCUGACAGCGGAUGACACGGCGGUGUAUUACUGUGCUCGAGAUUCACAGUGA
Polypterus senegalus (gray bichir) is the source of this 390-nucleotide non-coding RNA. NCBI's taxonomy places the organism in Eukaryota, Metazoa, Chordata, Cladistia, Polypteriformes, Polypteridae. The record is from the annotation of a RefSeq genome assembly.